Molecule: unclassified non-coding RNA, 248 nt
Filed under: uncultured Lasiosphaeriaceae
Lineage: Eukaryota; Fungi; Ascomycota; Sordariomycetes; Sordariales; Lasiosphaeriaceae
Description: sequence contains ITS2
Source: RNAcentral
AACGCACAUUGCGCCCGCUAGUAUUCUGGCGGGCAUGCCUGUUCGAGCGUCAUUUCAACCAUCAAGCGCCUGCGCUUGUGUUGGAGCCCUGCGGCUGCCGCAGGCUCCCAAACCCAGUGGCGGGCUCGUCGUCGUACCGAGUGCAGUAAACUUACCACGCUCAGGGCACGCGACGGGUGACCGGCCGUAAAACCCCCCACUUUCUCAAGGUUGACCUCGGAUCAGGUAGGAAUACCCGCUGAACUUAA